CGAACGCUGGCGGCAGGCUUAACACAUGCAAGUCGAGCGGGCAUAGCAAUAUGUCAGCGGCAGACGGGUGAGUAACGCGUGGGAACAUACCUUUUGGUUCGGAACAACACAGGGAAACUUGUGCUAAUACCGGAUAAGCCCUUACGGGGAAAGAUUUAUCGCCGAAAGAUUGGCCCGCGUCUGAUUAGCUAGUUGGUGAGGUAAUGGCUCACCAAGGCGACGAUCAGUAGCUGGUCUGAGAGGAUGAUCAGCCACAUUGGGACUGAGACACGGCCCAAACUCCUACGGGAGGCAGCAGUGGGGAAUAUUGGACAAUGGGCGCAAGCCUGAUCCAGCCAUGCCGCGUGAGUGAUGAAGGCCCUAGGGUUGUAAAGCUCUUUUGUGCGGGAAGAUAAUGACGGUACCGCAAGAAUAAGCCCCGGCUAACUUCGU
RNAcentral lists this ribosomal RNA (432 nucleotides) under uncultured bacterium. RNAcentral's name for it is "bacterial SSU rRNA". It matches the Rfam family "Bacterial small subunit ribosomal RNA", at positions 30 to 506 of the family's 1533-position model. The record is from RNAcentral.